GACAAGGAUAAGCGAAGCAGGAGGCAUAACCUGUGGAAGAAAACCACACGUGAACUGCUGCAGAGUGGUACAGGUGGAAACCUGAACUGACGUAAGCUCAGCUCUAGCUGGACUGAUGCUCCCCGGGGCCAUAACGACACUUAGAGACUGUUAUUUGGCACCUGUAAUUUUGCCAAACUGCGGCCAAGAUCAGAUUGUGCAGCAUUCUCAUCAGCGAGCCCAGGCUGAGCAAACCUUCACGGGAAUUGUCGUGUGCCCAAAUGCUGCGUGGAGCCCAUGGUCCCCUGCAGUAUGCCUUGGCAGUGCCACUAACCUGCAAAAGCGUCAUUCCAUCAUCAAGCUAAGCUGGCAUGUGUAGUGCCUAAGUUUGUCUCGCUUCAGACAGUGGGGCUUCUCAGAGGAUGCAGGGAAGCAGGACUUGGCAUUGAAUUUAUGAUCAUUAUAAAUGGAUUAUGCACCUUGGGCUAGUCUGAUGAAAAUUCAUUAAAAGGAUUUAGAAGCUCCUAUUAUAUA
Molecule: long non-coding RNA, 513 nt
Organism: Harpia harpyja (harpy eagle)
Lineage: Eukaryota; Metazoa; Chordata; Aves; Accipitriformes; Accipitridae
Exons: 3
Source: RefSeq, a predicted model, not a curated record